CAGCAGCCACGGGAAUACGUAGGGUGCGAGCGUUAAUCGGAAUUACUGGGCGUAAAGCGUGCGCAGGCGGUUUUGUAAGACAGGCGUGAAAUCCCCGGGCUCAACCUGGGAAUGGCGCUUGUGACUGCAAAGCUAGAGUGCGGCAGAGGGGGAUGGAAUUCCGCGUGUAGCAGUGAAAUGCGUAGAUAUGCGGAGGAACACCGAUGGCGAAGGCAAUCCCCUGGGCCUGCACUGACGCUCAUGCACGAAAGCGUGGGGAGCAAACAGGAUUAGAUACCCCCGUAGUCCCUGUCUCUUAUAA
Molecule: ribosomal RNA, 301 nt
Filed under: uncultured bacterium
Lineage: Bacteria
Description: partial 16S ribosomal RNA
Rfam family: Bacterial small subunit ribosomal RNA
Source: RNAcentral